UUGGAAUGGUAAUGUAUAUAUUGUGU
This 26-nucleotide non-coding RNA is filed under the name Mus musculus (house mouse). Lineage: Eukaryota; Metazoa; Chordata; Mammalia; Rodentia; Muridae. The record is from RNAcentral.